Molecule: long non-coding RNA, 445 nt
Organism: Solea solea (common sole)
Lineage: Eukaryota; Metazoa; Chordata; Actinopteri; Pleuronectiformes; Soleidae
Exons: 3
Source: RefSeq, a predicted model, not a curated record
ACGCUGACGUAUGGCGUCAACGGGGAAACAGCGAACGCGGCGUCCAGUGUUUAGUUUACACAGUUUGUCAAUGAGAACGUGUACAAAGUUGUGAUUCUUCAGUAAACUUGACUGAAAUAUCACAGGUGAGAAAACGAUAUAUCAGCAGGAAAACAAACGUGGCGCGUGCUAGCUAAUUAUGAGGAAACGAUCGACACCUGUUGUUUGUUGGAACAUGUAAACCGUUCACUCGGAGAAGGACGCGGGCUCAGUUUCUCUGGAAAAGUAUUCAGUGUGUAACCUUCACAAAGGAUGUGCCAGAACUGCGCUGGUGAAUUCGACAUCUUUCAAAGAGCGGCGUGUGGUAUCGAUGUGGGCUGCAUCUGGCCAAGUAGAGAAGAGGCACUAUAGUCCAGACCCCUGAUAUCAACAUCUUCAAUACCGUCAAAAGUGGACAGCUCUAAGU